GGGCAGCUCUAUGAUCAUCCAGCAACAUGAAAGUUUGAAUCUUCAAGUCAGCCAGCAAUUCAAGGCUGAUCUUUCACAGAAUAUCUUCAAAGACAAAAAGCAUGCCCAGCAGAUACUGUUUGCAAGACAUCCCCUGUUUCAUCCGCAUAUAAAACUGUUCAGACAGAAAGCAGAUCAGUGGUUGCCUGGGCCUGGGGGUAAGAAUUGGGUCUGAACACAAAUGCACAGGAGGCUUCUUUCUGGGGGGGAUGAUGGAUAUAUUCUAAAAUUAGAUUACAGGAUAUGUACAACUCUUUAAAUGUACUAAAUACCAUUGAAUUGUACACUUAAAACAGAUAUUUUUGUGGCAUAUAAAUGAUACCUUGUUAGAUUUCUAAUUAAAAAAAAAAGAUAUGCAACAAGCAACAAAAGUUUACUGUAUAUUACAGGGAACUGCAGUCAAUAUCAUAUAAUAACCUAUUAUGGAAAAUAAUCUGAAAAAUAAUAUAUGUGUAUGCUGCUGCUGCUUCUAAGUCACUUUAGUCGUGUCCGACUCUGUGCAACCCCACAGACGGCAGCCCACCAGGCUCCCCCGUCCCUGGGAUUCUCCAGGUAAGAACACUGGACUGGGUUGCCAUUUCCUUCUCCAAUGCAUGAAAGUGAAAAGUGAAAGUGAAGUCACUCAGUUGUAUCCAACUCUUAGCGACCCCAUGGACUGCAGCCCACCAGGCUCCAUCCAUGGGAUAUUCCAGGCAAAAGUACUGGAGUGGGGUGCCAUUGCCUUCUCUGAUAUGUAUAUAUUUAUAUGUGUAUAUUUAUAUGUAUAUUUAUAUUGUGUGUAUAUUUAUAACUGAAUCACCUUGCUGUGCACUUGAAACAUUGUAAGUCAAUUAUACUUCAAUGAAAUAUAUAUAUAUAUAAAGAAAAAAGUUGUUUUUUAAAGACAGAGAAAACUGAUGGUGAGGACUUGGUCCUGUGGGAGGAGGCUGGGAGAGGAUGCUUCAACCCUGCAGCUCCCUUCUUGGCAGCCAGAACUUGCCUUCGGUGCUGUUG
This is a long non-coding RNA of Bos taurus (domestic cattle), 1032 nucleotides long. NCBI's taxonomy places the organism in Eukaryota, Metazoa, Chordata, Mammalia, Artiodactyla, Bovidae. The record is from Ensembl.